UAAUAAGUGUUUUAUGGCACUUUUUAAAUCCAUAUCCACCUUGUGUGCAAUGUCAGUCGAUCUUCUUCAUGGAGAUCGACCAAACAUCAACCUUUAUUUCUUAACUCUUUGUCUGAAAAAUAUUAUGAAUAAACAAUUCAAAAUA
Molecule: unclassified non-coding RNA, 145 nt
Filed under: soil metagenome
Description: partial internal transcribed spacer 1
Source: RNAcentral